This 114-nucleotide ribosomal RNA is filed under the name Streptococcus pneumoniae. The record is from RNAcentral. Lineage: Bacteria; Bacillati; Bacillota; Bacilli; Lactobacillales; Streptococcaceae.
AGUGACGAUAGCCUAGAAGAUACACCUGUACCCAUGCCGAACACAGAAGUUAAGCCCUAGAACGCCGGAAGUAGUUGGGGGUUGCCCCCUGUGAGAUAGGGAAGUCGCUUAGCU